GCUAAGAAAGGCUGUUAAGACUGACCUUGCACUGGGCACUCUCUGCUUUUCCAGGUGGCGCUGCGGCUGGAGGACGGUGAUGAGACUGCCGAGCCGCCCCCCAGCGGGCGCAGGGACCGGAGGAGGGCCAGUGUGUGUGGCGGUGGUGGUAGUGGCGCAGGGGGUGAGUCCCGGGGCCUGGACCGCAGGCGGAGCCGAAGGCACUCGGUGCAGAGCAUCAAGAGCCCUGUGUCGGCCCCGUCCAGUCCCUGCUCCCCAUCAGCUCCAGGCUUCAAGACCAGUCAAGUGCAAGAUCUCCGUGAAAACAAUAGCAGCAGCAGCCGUGAGGCCAGCCCUGCCUCAGAGCAGAAGGAUGCUGCUCUGGAGAGCCCAGCCCUCCCCGCUGCCUCCAGCACCACUUCGCAGGGAAAGCAGCUUCCAGGUGGCUCUGCAGCUGGGACCCCCUUGUGCAGAGGGUCCUCAGGGCCAGCUCUGCGGCCCCCUCCCACCCCUGCCUCGGUCCCUCGGCCCUCCUCCACACCUGGCCCCCCGAAAGCGUCACCAACCCUAGAAAAGCUGCCCUACGUGCCCCACAGCCCGUUCCACCUCUUCUCCUAUGACUUUGAGGAUUCGCCC
Molecule: long non-coding RNA, 615 nt
Filed under: Sus scrofa (pig)
Lineage: Eukaryota; Metazoa; Chordata; Mammalia; Artiodactyla; Suidae
Description: lncRNA (ENSSSCG00045002822.1)
Source: RNAcentral